UGGCUGUCCCUGCGGAGUCGGAGCCUGCGACAUGGGGGAGGGGACCCAUGGGUUCACCGUGUGUGUGUGUGUGCGCGUGUGUGCGUACCAGCUUUCCUUGGAGCUGUAGUAGAGGAUUAGGUUAGACUGAACCCCUUAAUCUACAAGCCACUGGGGGAACAGGGAAGUCUCCAGUCUACCUCCCUUCUUUACUGAUGAGCAAAGUGACUUCUUUAAGGUCAGUUCCCAGAGUGGCUCUUUCCUUGGGUAUUGAAUUUGGAUAGGUGCCAUUGCUUUGGUGGUGUUGGGAGAAGGCGGCAAAAGGGGAAGCCCCCUUUGAAAUGAGACAAGAGGCAUUCCUCUGAUAAGGUGGUACUCUUAAGAUCAUAUUUCUAGUUUGCAUACAACCCUGCGUGCAUUUGGAAUAUAUAUGUGUAUUAGUAUUUUAAAAAACCUUUGAACAAGUAUCAGCUGCUCCCCCUAAAACAAAACUCAAAUGUAUAUUAAAAAAACCUGAGUGAAAUGAUAGGCACAAUUUCUUACCAUUUGUAUUCUCCUAGGACUUCUAAAAUAGUGAGUGCCUCGCUAGCGCGUCUAGUGUGAGUUCAUAUUCAUUAACUACCUGACAGAUGGUGGGAGGGAGGCUUUUUCGAGGGAGGGAUGGUGAGUCUGGAAGCUUAAGAGUUAGGAUGUAUCAUCCACUCCGUGGAGGAAGGCACACUGGGCAGAAACAAAGAAAAAGCAUCUCAGGAAUUAAAAUUUAUAUUUUGGGGAAAAUAGAAUUUCAUUCUUUAAAACAUUCAUAUAUAACUUAGCUGUGAAUAUUAAUAAAGUGCUGAAGCCUAUAUUUAGCUUAGCACAGUGCCUGGCACCUGGUACGUAAUAAAUAUUUAUUGAAUGAAUGGUGCGUGAAUGUCUCUGCUGGUUUGUUCCCUUUUCUUGCUUCUCUGCCAAGAGAGAAAUUAAUAAACUCAAGUGGAUUUGUGGCUGGCAUGUGAUCCUCUCAGCAACCCAGUGAGUCAUGUAGCAUGACCCUCAUCUCACAAAUGAAGAAAAAGAAGCUCUAAGAGGUGCCUUUUGCUCAAGGUCACAGAGCUGACUUUCUUUGUAAUGGGGGAAGAUGCUCUAAGAACCCAGGUGCUAUGGUGAAAUCCUAAAGGCCAAUGUGAUGGUCUUGGAGGUACUUACACUUUCAAUAACCUGCAUAUGGAUUUCAACGCUAUUUAAUUAAGCCUUAAACCUAUAAAAAUGCACAUUUAAUACUCAAGUAAGCCCCUGACGUGUUCCCUCUGAAGAUAAACAGGUAGGAGGUUUCUGCAGUCAACCUAAAGCACACCUGAUUCUGGAGCAUGGGAGGGAAAUUAUGUCUGCUGUGGUCUGCAAAGGAGGCUGAGGUCUGAGAAAACAUCCAGGGUGUCCCACUAGGUCCCAUGCGUGCUCAUGGACUGGCCCCAAGUCCUCGUAAUAUCCAAGAGAUGUCAGUGCCCCUUCAGAGCCUCCAGAAGCUGCUCUGGCUGUGAACCUGUUCUCUUCCUCACUCCUCUUGCCUCAGUUCUCCUGAAAAGCAAGCAUGUUGCUGAGGGGCAGCCUAAUUGAGGUGGACUCAGAUGAAGAUCUACCUGGAAAGAGCCUAGAACUGAGAAUCUGGGGACCUGCCGUUUAGUCCUGGUGCUUUCCUAAACUCACCAUGCAACCUUGAACAAGUACUUUACUCUCUAGGCUUCUGUUUCAUCAUCUGUGAAACAAGGGAGCUAUGUCUUUGGGUCUCAGGUUCUGUGGAGCAAGGCCAAGGACAAGCAGUGGGGUGGGAAAUAGCCCCCUCACCUUUAGUGAAAGGCAUAUUCCAGCCGUUCUUUAAGAAUGGUGUCGGACAAGCUAAUGAUGCCUGAUUCUGAGACUGUGCAACCUGGAAUUGGCAGUCAGGAGGUCUACACCCGGGAGAUACUGGGAGAGCAGCGGAGACGUUAACUUGGAGAUAGCAAAGCUCUGAGCUUCCUUCAGAGGGGAGUGGAGAGGGGUCCUUCCGCAGAGGAGCCACUGUUCCUGGAGCCUGUCAGAAUAGUUUAUUUAUAUAAAAUCAAACUCUGGUCUUUGGUCUUAGUGGUAAGGAACUUCCUCCCACAAAACAAGACAAAACAAAACAGAACAAAAACAAAACAAGGAUGUGGUGGUCUCCAUUUGAAGAAAUCAAGGUGAACUGGAGAAGUUUGAAGACCCUAGAGGGGAAAUAGGGGAGGUUGAGGAGUUAUCAAUAACUUAUUAACGUUAUUUAUAAGUUACGUUAUCAAUAAGGUAAAACGUGUCCAAUUAGAACAACACAAGUGACCAGACAGAAGGGGAUUUUCUUUGUUUAAUUGAAAAGAUAGUUCAGGCCUAUAGGAAAUCAUUGAAACGGUCCAAAAAAUUAUCACUGAAAAAUACAUUCCCCUUCUAGUCUUGCCCUUUGGUCGCCAUUUGCAGAGACAACCAUCUUGGACAAUUUGUGUAUCCUUCCAGAAGCAUUAGGCCUCAUCUGCACUUUGCUUUUUUAUGCAAUGAUAUAUCUUGGAGAUUGUUCUAUAACAGCACCUAUAUUCAUUAAUCAUUUUGACAAACUUUUGAGUGCCUAUUAAGGGCCAGGCACUGAAAAUACAGCAGUGCAAAAGCCAGGCAAGAUCUCGGCCCUCCUUAGCAUUCUAGUGACAAUACCAGAAGAUAAACAAGGAAAUGAUGAUUAUGUAAUGUAGGGCCAGGUAGUUCUGAGUGCCGUGAAGAAAACAUAAACACAGAAUGAGGAGAGAAGUGAUGAGGCUCUUUCAGAUGAGAUGGCCAAGGAAGGGCAGCCUGGGGAGGUGACAUAAGAGAGGAGUAACUCACGCUGAGGGAGGGGGCAUGGUCUUUCCAGGUCCAGGGAACACCACGGACAAAGGCUCCAGGGUGGGGUGUGCCUGGCAUGCUAGAGGAACAGGAAGGAGGUCAGUGUGGCUGGGGCAGAAUGAGGCUGCCAUGUGGUCAGAGAGGAGGUCACAGAGGCAGGCAGGGGACACAGCCCAUGAGGCCCUGAGGCUGUGGUGAGGAGUUUGGUUUUUAUUCUAAGUGACAUAUGGAGCCGUUGGAUGGUUUGGGUAGGGGCAUACCAGCUGAUAAAUGUUUUAUAAAGAUCCUUCCUGCAGCUGUGUGGUGAAGAGACUGUCAAGGUGCAAGAGUGAAAUUGAGGGAGACCAGGUGGCUGCUGCCAUCUCUGCAAGCAGGUGACAGUGGCUUGGUCUAACAGCAGAUUUGUAUUUUGAGAGUAGAGCCUACAGGAUGUGGGAUAUGAGUGAGAGGAAUGGAAGCGAUUCCAUGAUUUUUGACCUGAGUGACUGGGUGAAUGUACUGCAUUACUGAAAUGGGGAGCCAUUUAUGGAAAUGAGGAAGAAGGGGCUAGUGUGGUGAUUGCCACAUUCUGGCUCAGGUGUGUUAAACUCAGCAUGCCUGUUUCAUGUCCCAAGGCCAAUAUUCAGAAGGCAAUGGGAUCUAUGAGUCUCAAAGGCAUCACUUAGGAUAGGGCUGGAGAUACAAAUUUGGGUGUCAUCAGAUGGUAUUUUAAACUCUGGCCUGGAUGAGCAUCAGAGAUUGAAUGCAGAGAGAGAAUGUAGCGAGAAGGCCAGGACUGAUCCCAGGGUCCCUCUAACAUUUAGAGGUUGGGAAGAGGAGGAAGGGCCAGCGAAGGAGACGGAGACAGGAGAGCCAGGGAGGGGGGAGGAAAUAUAAGAAUGUGGUAUCCUGGAAGCCCAGUGUAGAAGGUGCUGGAUAAACCCCCCCAAUUCUUUUUCACAUCUGCACUGCAUUCUCUUGUACGGCUGUGCCAUAGAUUAUUUAACGAGUCCUCUCUCCAAGGCAUUUGGAUUGCUAGCAGUCUUUUGCUGGUAAACAAGGCCACAGUGAAUGUGGUUGACUUUAUCAGGAGUUCUGAGUGAGGCAAUCACAGGGAACUGUUUAAAGGACUCUGUUUUCCCUUGAAGCAGCAUGAGUAGCACUGGCUUGCUGAGAGCCCUAUUUACACACACAUGAAGGAAUAUUGAGGGAGCCAGAGGUUAGGAGCAGGAAAGCCCUUCUGAAACCACUAGCCCCAGCCACUGCUUCUAUCGGUGAGAAAAUGAACUUGUCCAGAGUCAUCCGGCACCUUGGACACAGCCAGUGUUGGAACACAAUCUCUUGACUCUCAGCCCACUCUUGGCAGGACUCCAUAUUGCAUGCCAAGGCAUUUCCAGUGAUCACCUUCCCCAAAUUUGCUGAGCUGCGGGAUGUGGAUAGAUCACGAUCGAAGGCAGUGAAGUGUAGAUGAAUGAGCAGAGAUUUGGGGCCAAAUAGACCUGGAGUGAAUCCUGUCUCCAGCACUUAACUAGGUGCGCAUCAACGUACUUGACUAUGAUCCUUGUUGUUUGUAGAGUGGCAAUAAUUGCACCUAUAACAGACAAUGGGAUGCUAUAAAACCCCUGGCCCAGCCCUGCAUGUAGCAGACGGUAUGUGGGAACUCCUUCUCCCCUAUUCGAGUUCUUCUCUUCCUUCCAAUGCAGUUGUUACAAGAGAGAAAUUGAAAACUUCCUCAUAAACCUUGAAGGAAGCAGAGACCUCAGAAAACCAACCAAAGACAGUCCUCUGUGUGUAUGUGUGUACUUCAAAGCUUUGUCUUCUUCUGAAAAGAAUGGCCUAAGACAAAUGUCUCUAAGCAAACUAGAAUGUAUUAGAACUGUUACUCUCAGAAGAUGUGUGGUCAUAAGAGUAAGAGAGAUUAAGGAAAACAGAAAUCCUCAUUCUAAAUAAAAACCCCUAUUUUUCUGAAUAUAAAAGCUUAGUCUCUGAUUAUCAUGCUUUUUGCAAAAAUAUGGGAAAUAUAGAAAAGGAUAAAGAAGAAAAUAAAAAUAAUACACAAUUCCAUAACCACUAUUAACAGUUUGGUAUAUUUCCAGUUGUUUUCUUAUGUAGAUACAGAUAUGUGCCACUCAGAUCACCCUUCAAGAGAGACCUUGCCUCCAGCUGUUAGCUCCUUUGGGACUGGCCUCAGUAUUGGAGCCAAUAUCCCACUGCUCCAGGGGUGGCCCCAGUCAGUGACUGAGCAAGUUUGUGCCAUGAUAGCCUGGCCAUUUCUCAGGCAAUUUCUGCUCAGACUGUUGUUUGCUUUGUAUUUGGCUUUGUGA
Molecule: non-coding RNA, 5138 nt
Organism: Equus caballus (horse)
Lineage: Eukaryota; Metazoa; Chordata; Mammalia; Perissodactyla; Equidae
Source: RefSeq, a predicted model, not a curated record